UUUUUGACAGAUGUACUAUGGAAACGAGAAGCAGAACAAAUAAAAUAAAUCUAAACAGCUACUCGAUGAAGCCUAGCAGGGACAAACGAACAAACCGGACUACUAGCGAGAGGAGUCGACCAAUCCGCGCUUACCGUUUGCCACAAAAAACUGUACCACAGUUAAUCCGAGAGUCAGAACCCGAUAAAAUUUAGCCUCUCUGAUGAUCCGUUCUUUAUGAUUGGUCCAACCAAGAAUAGCUCGAAGAAGACUUCCUGAGCAUCAGCCAUCCCGAAGACAGACAAGCCUGCAGUCUAGCACUCCCACUACAACAACAUCGAGCAAUAUUAUUCGAAGAUCUAUACAAAACAGGCAAAAAAAACAGCAGCAAACUCCACACUCCACACACACACAUCGUAACCUCAAACCAAGCCGGAAGAGCCUCAACCACUAGUAGACAGAGUGCGUGCCACUGAAUCUAGUGCUGGGAAGUUGAGCUCAAACCAAGUUAACCCGAAGCUCCGCCUGAGCCGCAGACCCCACGGCGAGGAAGAGCCAGCCGGACAAGGACAGUCCCUGAGAACCAGGAAACUGACCGGCUUGCAAACCGGAACAACUAAGACAAUUAAAACGCAGCCGGAAGAAGAAAGCAUGAGGUAAAUUAGGGAGAGCACCGAGGCCAGGACAAGAAGGAAGCACCAUGAACACAGGAAGGGCCGAAGCCAUAGACAACUCCGACUCAAACCCCAAGCCAUGGAAGCACGCGUCUAGCAAGACACAGCCGGAACACCACACGACGAAGCCGACCAAGCCUCAGACACACCAGAGAGGAGGAACCACACUGUACCUACUGCACCUUGAGCUGCGCAAAACCUAACGUCAAGACGCCUCGUGCGCUGGAGAAUCAUGGACCGCCGUGCCACUUCGCUGGGAAAACAAAUGACAUGAAAAACACCGGGAAAGAACAGAUCCGAGGCGAAGGAACCACCAUACGAAGCCACGCGCCGCAAUUCCACGGGUUUCGCCGGAGAUCUACAAAGCGAGACCGGACGAAAACCCUACCCAGAAACAAACUCCUACCUCCCACCGUCACUACACCCUCCUCGCAAAGUCACCAGAGGGACGAAGCGGCCACCAGAUUCGGCCUAGGCUCCUCCGCCGGCGAACGAUCUUGCUCUAGGGACGACCACAUAUCAGAGAUGGGUAAGAGAGGAGAGAGCAGCGCAAAGGAAAAGAAAGAGAAAAAGGGAUGAGAAGCCCUCCGACGACGAAGAGGAGAGCAGCCGCCGGAAGCAAGAUCGGAGAAUUUUUUUUUCCUUUUUUUUCUCGAGAGGUUUUAGAGAGAGAGACCCACUUUUUCAUCGUCAUAGAAUUAUUGUUGUUUAAAAUUAUAGAAUUACAAAGUAAAUCAAGGCUUAUUUAGACAAAAUAUUUGAUUCUUUUUUUGUGGAAGCAUGUUAUGUGCCUAUCAGGUCCAAGUCAUAGACGGUAUAGUAGGAUUUGUCAAAAUUUAAGUUUCAAUAUAAUAUUUGCAAUAUUAAUAUAUGACAAAAAUUAUCAAUGUCUCUGUAUUA
RNAcentral lists this long non-coding RNA (1553 nucleotides) under Brassica napus (rape). RNAcentral describes it as "long non-coding RNA (BNAP_LNC005327)". Lineage: Eukaryota; Viridiplantae; Streptophyta; Magnoliopsida; Brassicales; Brassicaceae. The record is from RNAcentral.